This 440-nucleotide ribosomal RNA is filed under the name uncultured bacterium. Its description in RNAcentral is "partial 16S ribosomal RNA". It matches the Rfam family "Bacterial small subunit ribosomal RNA", at positions 338 to 795 of the family's 1533-position model. The record is from RNAcentral.
CCUACGGGAGGCAGCAGUAGGGAAUAUUGCACAAUGGGGGAAACCCUGAUGCAGCAACGCCGCGUGAGUGAAGAAGUAUUUAGGUAUGUAAACCUCUAUCAUCAGAGAAGAUAAUGACGGUACCUGAUGAAGAAGCCCCGGCUAACUACGUGCCAGCAGCCGCGGUAAUACGUAGGGGGCAAGCGUUAUCCGGAUUUACUGGGCGUAAAGGGAGCGUAGACGGCGGCGUAAGUCUGAAGUGAAAUGCCGGAGCUUAACCCCGGAACUGCAUUGGAAACUGUGCAGCUGGAGUGUAGGAGAGGUAAGUGGAAUUCCUAGUGUAGGGGUGAAAUGCGUAGAUAUUAGGAGGAACACCAGUGGCGAAGGCGACCUACUGGAAUGUUACUGACGCUGAGGCUCGAAAGCGUGGGGAGCAAACAGGAUUAGAUACCCUUGUAGUC